ACCACCCCUCGGUGCUCAUUGAGGAGCUCACCACAGCUGAGCUCACCCUGGAUGCAGACUCAUCAUCUGUCCUUUGUAAAAUGAAGGCAGGAAAUUUAAGAAACCUUUGAAAGGCUGUGGAGCAUUAACUUAGAGAGUCCAGGGCACAAAGAAAAAAGAUCCUCACCCAUCUCUACUGCUGGGACAAACCUCUUAGUCCUCAUCUUAGUGUUGUGCAAAGCAGAGGAGGAGGAACAAGACGUUCUGUCAGCCUGGAAGAGGCAGGAAGACACUUCUCCUGUGCCCUGCCAGGACCUGGAUGCCAUGUCCAGGGAAAUACGUGUGUUCCCUGCACUUCCUGGCACUGGCACUGCCGGGCGCGCUGGCCUUUGCUCCCGGCCAAGGACAGCGCUGCGGGCACAGCUCCCAUCUCCCCUUAGCUGCAAAGCUGGGCAGGAAAGCAGCCCUGCACACCUCGAGGGGAGCCCAGGGCAAACACACAGCCCCACACGCCUUCAGCAGAGCAUGGCCCACCAGGCAUUGCUUGGGAAACUCACCCAAAGCCUGGGAAUGGCCCUGGGAGCGGGGUCAGCCAGGGCAGGGCACCACUGCCAGCGCGUGUGGUGCCCAGGGUGCUCCAGUGUGAAACUGGAACCCCUCAACACGGGGGCGAUCUUGCACAGGACAAAAGUAAAAACUGUCAGGGUUGGCUCUUCAGGACCCCAACAGGUCCCGUGCCGCCAAAGAAGGAGACUGGAAUGUGUCCGAUGGUGUAUUCAAGGUUGUUUAUUUUUCCUUACCUAUAACAUUCUCUCUCUGACCUGCCGAGGUCUGUCCAGAAAUGAAACCAUGGCAAUCUGCUGUGAGCCUUGGGCAGCUCCCACAUUAUAUACUCAAAACUACGUGUAGUAUGUUCACAAUUUAUUACCAAUUCCCAUCACCUGUGUCAGACUGUGAACCUCUACCUCAAACCAACAUAAAAGUGUCACUAUCAAACCAA
Non-coding RNA from Taeniopygia guttata (zebra finch), 979 nucleotides. Lineage: Eukaryota; Metazoa; Chordata; Aves; Passeriformes; Estrildidae. The record is from RefSeq and is a predicted model, not a curated record.